This 200-nucleotide ribosomal RNA is filed under the name uncultured bacterium. Its description in RNAcentral is "partial 16S ribosomal RNA". It matches the Rfam family "Bacterial small subunit ribosomal RNA", at positions 30 to 224 of the family's 1533-position model. The record is from RNAcentral.
AUUGAACGCUGGCGGCAUGCCUUACACAUGCAAGUCGAACGGCAGCAUGAUCUAGCUUGCUAGAUUGAUGGCGAGUGGCGAACGGGUGAGUAAUACAUCGGAACGUGCCCUGUAGUGGGGGAUAACUAGUCGAAAGAUUAGCUAAUACCGCAUACGACCUGAGGGCGAAAGUGGGGGACCGCAAGGCCUCAUGCUAUAGG